AUUGAACGCUGGCGGCAUGCCUUACACAUGCAAGUCGAACGGUAACAGGUCUUCGGAUGCUGACGAGUGGCGCACGGGUGAGUAAUACAUCGGAACGUGCCCGAUCGUGGGGGAUAACGAGGCGAAAGCUUUGCUAAUACCGCAUACGAUCUACGGAUGAAAGCGGGGGAUCUUCGGACCUCGCGCGGCCGGAGCGGCCGAUGGCAGAGUAGGUAGUUGGUGGGAUAAAAGCUUACCAAGCCGACGAUCUGUAGCUGGUCUGAGAGGAUGAUCAGCCACACGGGGACUGAGACACGGCCCAGACUCCUGCGGGAGGCAGCAGUGGGGAAUUUUGGACAAUGGGCGAAAGCCUGAUCCAGCCAUGCCGCGUGCAGGAUGAAGGCCUUCGGGUUGUAAACUGCUUUUGUACGGAACGAAAAGCCUCUUUCUAAUAAAGAGGGGUCAUGACGGUACCGGAAGAAUAAGCACCGGCUAACUACGUG
This 482-nucleotide ribosomal RNA is filed under the name uncultured bacterium. Its description in RNAcentral is "partial 16S ribosomal RNA". It matches the Rfam family "Bacterial small subunit ribosomal RNA", at positions 30 to 507 of the family's 1533-position model. The record is from RNAcentral.